AGGUCAUAUCAUAACCUAAUCAGUUUUGACCUAAUUGAAUCCAAUUCAAUUAGACUUGAUUGAAACUUUAAUGCUCAAUCAAAUUGAGCUAAUCAGUGAUCUAAUUGUUGACUAAUCCUCUUAAAUUAUACUAACACUUAGUAAAUUAUAUUAUUGCAACUAUUACACAGGGUUAAUCAUCAAUCGUAUUGACAGUUUUACCCUCGAAUGAUUUUCAAUCAUCGAUCUGCCAAU
Molecule: long non-coding RNA, 234 nt
Filed under: Elaeis guineensis (African oil palm)
Lineage: Eukaryota; Viridiplantae; Streptophyta; Magnoliopsida; Arecales; Arecaceae
Description: long non-coding RNA (EGUI_LNC056091)
Source: RNAcentral